GAUGUUCAUAUAUUUCGCUAUCAACUCUUAUUUCGUGAUCCACCUCAGAUCAGAAAUUCAAAUGUACAAUCCUGGUCCUGGAUGGAGAUCACACCGGAAAUAUCACAACUCAAAGUGGCAGUUCAUAGUUGAUUACAGCAGCAACAGCCUAAACCAUACUAGUAAGUACUUGGGAACAUUGAUGUGAAAGUGGGAAUCAUCUUGGAUAAUCUAGAGCCUCCACUCCAGUACACGUCCCUGGCAGCAUCAGCAUUGUUGUGGUCGAUGACGCCGGCGCUGGCGCACUGCGAAGUCCAUGGUCCUGCGGGAGACGAGAGACGGGAUGCCAAGUUGCCGACGCAGAGCGGGAGACAGCGGAGGCCGACUCGACGCAGUCGGUAGUUUGGGCACACAGCGCAACGGCGGACUGCGCGGCGGCCAUGCCAAGUCCAAACUCACAGCCCAUCUGUUAGACCUAGACAACAAAAUUCAUGGAAUAUUGGAAAAGGGGAAGCAACUAAAUGAUAAAAGAGGUCCAAAUUCAACAUGCGUUUCACUUACAGAUUUACAUCUCCCUAAAGUUCUCAACAGCAGAAGUUAAAACUUAAAAGUUCUUGAGAAACAGCUACACAGUUCACACAAGAUUGGAAAAGGAAAGUGAAACUAAAUGACCAGAUGUAACACUACACCAUGUUGUGAAAUUCAUCGAUGCAGUGGCAACAUGCAAUGAUUGGCCCAAUCACAAAUCCAACAACAUGAGCAAAAAAGAACUUGAAUGAAUCCAGCAGAGCCAUGCGGAGCCUAGUAC
RNAcentral lists this long non-coding RNA (787 nucleotides) under Triticum aestivum (bread wheat). Its description in RNAcentral is "long non-coding RNA (TAES_LNC014807)". The record is from RNAcentral. Lineage: Eukaryota; Viridiplantae; Streptophyta; Magnoliopsida; Poales; Poaceae.